CAGCCGCCGCGGUAAUACGAAGGGUGCAAGCGUUAAUCGGAAUUACUGGGCGUAAAGCGUGCGUAGGCGGUGAGUUAAGUCUGCUGUGAAAUCCCCGGGCUCAACCUGGGAAUUGCAGUGGAUACUGGGUCACUAGAGUGUGGUAGAGGAUAGUGGAAUUUCCGGUGUAGCAGUGAAAUGCGUAGAGAUCGGAAGGAACAUCUGUGGCGAAGGCGACUAUCCGGGCCAACACUGACACUGAGGCACGAAAGCGUGGGGAGCAAACAGGAUUAGAGACCCGCGUAGUCCCUGUCUCUUAUAC
Molecule: ribosomal RNA, 301 nt
Filed under: uncultured bacterium
Lineage: Bacteria
Description: partial 16S ribosomal RNA
Rfam family: Bacterial small subunit ribosomal RNA
Source: RNAcentral